Molecule: ribosomal RNA, 935 nt
Filed under: Baccha elongata
Lineage: Eukaryota; Metazoa; Arthropoda; Insecta; Diptera; Syrphidae
Description: eukaryotic LSU rRNA
Rfam family: Eukaryotic large subunit ribosomal RNA
Source: RNAcentral
UCAGCACUAAGCCAUUUUGUCUUUAUGGCAAAUAUGGGAUGCAGUGUAUGGAACACCUAUAAUCUAGUAUGAGAAAUUAACGAUUUAAGUCCUUCUUAAAUGAGGCCAUUUACCCAUAGAGGGUGCCAGGCCCGUAUAACGUUAAUGAUUACUAGAAGAUGUUUCCAAAGAGUCGUGUUGCUUGAUAGUGCAGCACUAAGUGGGUGGUAAACUCCAUCUAAAACUAAAUAUAACCAUGAGACCGAUAGUAAACAAGUACCGUGAGGGAAAGUUGAAAAGAACUCUGAAUAGAGAGUUAAACAGUACGUGAAACUGCUUAGAGGUUAAACCCGAUGAACCUGAAUAUCCAUUAUGAAAAAUUCAUCACUAAUAAAAUAGUGUGCAAUUUUUUCAUAUAAGGACAUUGUAAUCUGAUAAUGUCAUAAAUAUUUAUCAAAAGAUCUUAUACUUAAGUUUAUUCAAAUUUAACAUAAAAUAAAUGUAUUUGAUUGGAUAAAUCAUUGUCAGAUAUAAUUAUAUAAUGUGCUUAAAUUCCUCGGAAUUUUAUAAUAUUAUAUGCACUAUUAUGAUUAACAAUGCGAUAGAUUCAGGAUACCUUCGGGACCCGUCUUGAAACACGGACCAAGGAGUCUAACAUAUGUGCAAGUCAUUGGGUAUUUUUAAUAAAACCCAAUGGCAUAAUUAACUUAACUGUUGGGAUUAGUUUAAAUAAAUUCAAUCCCGGGGCGUUCUAUACAGUUAUGCGUAAUGAUAUUUAUAUUAUUUAUGCCUCUAACUAGAGCGUACCUUGAGCAAAUAUGCUGUGACCCGAAAGAUGGUGAACUAUACUUGAUCAGGUUGAAGUCAGGGGAAACCCUGAUGGAAGACCGAAACAGUUCUGACGUGCAAAUCGAUUGUCAGAAUUGAGUAUAGGGGCGAAAGACUAAUCGAACCAU